CGCCAGACUCCUACGGGAGGCAGCAGUGGGGGAUAUUGCACAAUGGGGGGAACCCUGAUGCAGCGACGCCGCGUGGGUGAAGGAGUGCUUCGGCAUGUAAAGCCCUAUCGGCAGGGAAGAAGCAAGACGGUGCCUGACUAAGAAGCCCCGGCUAACUACGUGCCAGCAGCCGCGGUAAUACGUAGGGGGCGAGCGUUAUCCGGAUUUACUGGGUGUAAAGGGAGCGUAGGCGGUUAGAUAAGUCUGAUGUGAAAGCCCACAGCUUAACUGUGGGAUUGCAUUGGAAACUAUAGAACUAGAGUGUCGGAGAGGUAAGUGGAAUUCCUAGUGUAGCGGUGAAAUGCGUAGAUAUUAGGAGGAACACCAGUGGCGAAGGCGGCUUACUGGACGAUGACUGACGCUGAGGCUCGAAAGCGUGGGGAGCAAACAGGAUUAGAUACCCGAGUAC
This 448-nucleotide ribosomal RNA is filed under the name uncultured bacterium. RNAcentral describes it as "partial 16S ribosomal RNA". It matches the Rfam family "Bacterial small subunit ribosomal RNA", at positions 329 to 793 of the family's 1533-position model. The record is from RNAcentral.